GUGACUACAAGCAAAAUGCCACCGUUCUGCUUUCCAAACCUAUGAGAACUACCGGGGUAUCACAGAUGAGUUCCUAUGCUGGUUCAUUUGCUGUCCCUUGACACCUUCUGACAAGCUCAUGAUUAUAAAGUUGAAACACUCAAAUCUCUACCAGAGAUCUAUUUCUUCUGGAUUCUAUGUUGCCCCUCCUUACCUAGGAUUGAACUGUCCCUCCAGAAUGCCUUGAUGGUCAUCUCAUAGAUGGGUGGGAAGCAGUGCAAAGUUAACAGAAUUGACCACUUGAGCUCACUUGAGACUCUGUGAAGAGGCUGCUCUUUGUCUACCAAUAAUCCCUUCUCUCUCUAUUAUAAACAACCAUAAUUUUAUGUGGGCAGCAACAAGCUGAGCCAGAAGACUACUUUUCCUAGACUUGCUUAUAGGGUAGAGUAGCCCAUGAAAUAUGAGUAGUAGUCAAUGGUGAAGUUUCCAGAAAGACUCUUCUAGGAGGUACUCCUUCUUGGUUUUGUUUCUUCCUCCUUCGGGCUGCCUAGAACACAGAUGUGAAGGCUGUACUGUGGCAGCCAUAUUGUGACAUGGAAGUGACUUUGGGAAUGGAGCUGAGGACUAAGAAUGGUGGAACAGAAAAAGAGAAGGAGACCAAGUCCCUGAUAACUUGGCACUAUUACCCAAGACCUGAACCACCUAGCUUCAGAUUUACCUUAUGAGAAACCAACUUCCAUUUUGCUGAAGUGACUGUUUUUUGAGUUCUCUGUUAUUUGCGAGGGAAGGUACUCAUAAAUGACGAAGACUCUUCAAGGCCAUUUCCAGAUUUGCCCAUCAUUACGACUUCUUUUCUGCUUAUCGAGAUUGAGUUGGACUAACAACUCUGCCGUGACACUUUCUCCAGCUGACCCUGAUUCUCCCAAUCACCCCCUUUCCGUGAUGGCGUUCAAUCUAAUAUUCCCACUGUCUAAUUUUCCCCACAGACAGUGAGCAGGAGCACAUGAGUGAAAAUAACAAUGCUAAGUACAGGACUCACUUUCCCCUCAGAUAUCAACGCACUACAAUGUACUGAGUGGGUUUUCUCAAUAAAGACUAAAUUGAGA
Lutra lutra (Eurasian river otter) is the source of this 1085-nucleotide long non-coding RNA. RefSeq lists it as uncharacterized. The transcript has 2 exons. Lineage: Eukaryota; Metazoa; Chordata; Mammalia; Carnivora; Mustelidae. The record is from RefSeq and is a predicted model, not a curated record.